RNAcentral lists this ribosomal RNA (622 nucleotides) under uncultured bacterium. Its description in RNAcentral is "bacterial SSU rRNA". The stretch from base 1 to 533 matches the Rfam family "Bacterial small subunit ribosomal RNA", at positions 338 to 873 of the family's 1533-position model. The record is from RNAcentral.
CCUACGGGAGGCAGCAGUAGGGAAUUUUCCGCAAUGGGCGAAAGCCUGACGGAGCAAUACCGCGUGAGGGAUGACGGCCUGUGGGUUGUAAACCUCUUUUCUCAAGGAAGAAGUUCUGACGGUACUUGAGGAAUAAGCAUCGGCUAACUCUGUGCCAGCAGCCGCGGUAAUACAGAGGAUGCAAGCGUUAUCCGGAAUCACUGGGCAUAAAGCGUCUGUAGGUUGUUUAGUAAGUCUGCUGUUAAAGACUGGGGCUUAACCCCAGAAAAGCAGUGGAAACUGCUAGACUCGAGUGUGGUAGAGGUAGAGGGAAUUCCUAGUGUAGCGGUGAAAUGCGUAGAUAUUAGGAAGAACACCAAUGGCGAAGGCACUCUACUGGGCCAUAACUGACACUGAGAGACGACAGCUAGGGGAGCAAACGGGGUAUUAGAUACCCCCGGGUAGUCCUAGCCGUAAACGAUGGAUACUAGAUGUUGCCACGUACUUAACCGUACGUCAGUAUCGUAGUACGUAGGUACGUUAAGUACUCCGUCCGUCGGUAGGUACGCGUCGCGAGAGAGAACGACGUAAGUAGUAGUUAGACGUCGUUGAGACGNGCCGACGGCGACGACGAGGGAGGAGG